AUGCCCGGGGGGAAACCCAAAGCGCCCUGCAGGGGAUCCAAGAGGCGAGAAAGAUCGCGGCGGGUAAGGCUUUUUCCAUGUAAAGCAAGUAUUUUAGGGAAAAUUAUGUUUCUAAUUUUCAAUUCAGAUUUCUCAGGGGUAUUUGCCGAGCUGCCCCGCAGCAUAUCAGAUGCCGCCCAAUUCUACCGAGUCGAAGGAAGGAACACUGCGGAUAAGCUCUUCUGGUCGCAGUAUUUGGCACCGAAUUAUCCGGUGCCUUUUGCCGAUCAACUGAAACAGCUGAUCGAACUGCAUAAGGCGGUGGAACUAGCCAUGAAGGAUUUGGUUAUCCGGCUAUGGCCUGCCGAGCCGAUUCCAAGCAGCUACUUUGGGCUCGUGAAGCGGCUUGUGAGCGCUUGCCCUCGACUUGACAUCAUCAAGCGGUCGGUCUGCAUAGAAGGUGCGCGAAUGGCCUUCGCCCGUGCAAAACUGCACUGGGGGAAGAUGGAUGCUGAGAAGCUGAUGGCCGAAGGGCCGCCAGAGGGGAAGGAGCACCGCAAGCCCGAAUUAUAUUAUGAAAGUGUCCUAAAAGGAUCCUACCUUGCAGCGGAGCUAUGCACCAAGGACAUUAUAUUUCCAUGA
Molecule: ribosomal RNA, 621 nt
Filed under: Triticum aestivum (bread wheat)
Lineage: Eukaryota; Viridiplantae; Streptophyta; Magnoliopsida; Poales; Poaceae
Description: partial small subunit ribosomal RNA
Source: RNAcentral